AGUUUGAUCCUGGCUCAGAACGAACGCUGGCGGCAGGCUUAACACAUGCAAGUCGAACGCCCCGCAAGGGGAGUGGCAGACGGGUGAGUAACGCGUGGGAAUCUACCGAGCCCUACGGAAUAACGCAUGGAAACGUGUGCUAAUACCGUAUACGCCCUUAGGGGGAAAGAUUUAUCGGGGUUUGAUGAGCCCGCGUUGGAUUAGCUAAGUUGGUGGGGUAAAGGCCUACCAAAGGCGACGAUCCAUAGCUGGUCUGAGAGGGAUGAUCAAGCCACAUUGGGACUGAGACACGGGCCCAAACUCCUACGGGAGGCAAGCAAGUGGGGGAAUA
This 331-nucleotide ribosomal RNA is filed under the name uncultured bacterium. Its description in RNAcentral is "SSU rRNA". It matches the Rfam family "Bacterial small subunit ribosomal RNA", at positions 10 to 364 of the family's 1533-position model. The record is from RNAcentral.